This is a long non-coding RNA of Felis catus (domestic cat), 757 nucleotides long. RefSeq lists it as uncharacterized. The record is from RefSeq and is a predicted model, not a curated record. The transcript has 3 exons. NCBI's taxonomy places the organism in Eukaryota, Metazoa, Chordata, Mammalia, Carnivora, Felidae.
GACCGUCAGGAAGGCCGGAUUCGGUCAGAUCCACGAGAGAAGGCCCAGGGCUGAGAGUCCAGGAGGCCCCAAUCGGGGGAGAGGAAGAGGGUGGUCCCGGCCCGAGGCAGAAGGUGGGGCUGCCAGGAGAGGGCGGGGUCCCCGCAAGAGGAGUCCCGGGAGGCCCGCCUAGAAACAGGCCGGGCAGCCAGGGGGAAUCCAGGGAGGGGGGGCGCUCCCUUGGGCGCUGGGACGGAGAGGAAUGAGAAGGCGGGGGCCUGUCACAGACCUGGCCCUGCGGCCCCGAGGGCCCGGUCCCCCCGCCCGCCGCUCACCUGGGCACGCAGCUGGACGAGCUCCGGUCCACCUCCCAGGCCUACCCCGAUUGCCACGUCCAACGUGGGAUCUCCCACACUACCACCCACAUCCAUCACCUCCAGAAACCAUCUUGAAGGCUCCUGACAUCGACAUCUCAGUUGCUGCACUUCCAGCAAAGCAACACCAGUAGCACCACAGCAGAACUUCUCUCCCAGCACCCGGCAAAUGCCCGUUGGGCCCCUUAAGUCCAACCUAGUCUAGCCUGUUGGGAAGACUUCUGAAGACCAGAAGACUAGAACCUGGAGAAAGCAAGCUCCCCCUCCCUCCCCCUACCAAAAUUAGAGGCUGAGUGCUGAGGACUCCAGACAAUCUAGAUUUGGGGCUGUGUUCCCUCCCAGCUCAGGUCGUGACCUCACCGUUCAAGCCCCAUGUCAGACUCCGAGCUGACAGUGCAGAGCCU